UAAGUNUGAAGUUAAAGGCUGUGGCUCAACCAUAGUUCGCUUUGGAAACUGUCAAACUUGAGUGCAGAAGGGGAGAGUGGAAUUCCAUGUGUAGCGGUGAAAUGCGUAGAUAUAUGGAGGAACACCGGUGGCGAAAGCGGCUCUCUGGUCUGUAACUGACGCUGAGGCUCGAAAGCGUGGGGAGCGAACAGGAUUAGAUACCCUGGUAGUCCACGCCGUAAACGAUGAGUGCUAGGUGUUGGAUCCUUUCCGGGAUUCAGUGCCGCAGCUAACGCAUUAAGCACUCCGCCUGGGGAGUACGACCGCAAGGUUGAAACUCAAAGGAAUUGACGGGGGCCCGCACAAGCGGUGGAGCAUGUGGUUUAAUUCGAAGCAACGCGAAGAACCUUACCAGGUCUUGACACCCCGAUGCUAUUUCUAGAGAUAGAAAGUUACUUCGGUACAUCGGUGACAGGUGGUGCAUGGUUGUCGUCAGCUCGUGUCGUGAGAUGUUGGGUUAAGUCCCGCAACGAGCGCAACCCCUAUUGUUAGUUGCCAUCAUUCAGUUGGGCACUCUAGCGAGACUGCCGGUAAUAAACCGGAGGAAGGUGGGGAUGACGUCAAAUCAUCAAGCCCCUUAUGACCUGGGCUACACACGUGCUACAAUGGUUGGUACAACGAGUUGCGAGUCGGUGACGGCAAGCUAAUCUCUUAAAGCCAAUCUCAGUUCGGAUUGUAGGCUGCAACUCGCCUACAUGAAGUCGGAAUCGCUAGUAAUCGCGGAUCAGCACGCCGCGGUGAAUACGUUCCCGGGCCUUGUACACACCGCCCGUCACACCACGAGAGUUUGUAACACCCGAAGUCGGUGAGGUAAC
This 854-nucleotide ribosomal RNA is filed under the name uncultured bacterium. RNAcentral describes it as "bacterial SSU rRNA". It matches the Rfam family "Bacterial small subunit ribosomal RNA", at positions 584 to 1439 of the family's 1533-position model. The record is from RNAcentral.